RNAcentral lists this ribosomal RNA (637 nucleotides) under uncultured bacterium. RNAcentral's name for it is "bacterial SSU rRNA". It matches the Rfam family "Bacterial small subunit ribosomal RNA", at positions 232 to 880 of the family's 1533-position model. The record is from RNAcentral.
CGCGGCCUAUCAGCUUGUUGGUGGGGUAACGGCCUACCAAGGCGACGACGGGUAGCCGGCCUGAGAGGGCGACCGGCCACACUGGGACUGAGACACGGCCCAGACUCCUACGGGAGGCAGCAGUGGGGAAUAUUGCGCAAUGGGCGGAAGCCUGACGCAGCGACGCCGCGUGGGGGAUGAAGGCCUUCGGGUUGUAAACCCCUUUCAGCAGGGACGAAGCGCAAGUGACGGUACCUGCAGAAGAAGCGCCGGCUAACUACGUGCCAGCAGCCGCGGUAACACGUAGGGCGCAAGCGUUGUCCGGAAUUAUUGGGCGUAAAGAGCUCGUAGGUGGUCUGUUGCGUCCGCUGUGAAAUCUCAGGGCUUAACCCUGAGCCUGCAGUGGAUACGGGCAGACUAGAGGUAGGUAGGGGAGAAUGGAAUUCCUGGUGUAGCGGUGAAAUGCGCAGAUAUCAGGAGGAACACCGGUGGCGAAGGCGGUUCUCUGGGCCUUACCUGACACUGAGGAGCGAAAGCGUGGGGAGCGAACAGGAUUAGAUACCCUGGUAGUCCACGCCGUAAACGUUGGGCGCUAGGUGUGGGAUCCUUCCACGGAUUCCGUGCCGCAGCUAACGCAUUAAGCGCCCCGCCUGGGGAG